This 773-nucleotide ribosomal RNA is filed under the name Crenarchaeote enrichment culture. Its description in RNAcentral is "bacterial SSU rRNA". It matches the Rfam family "Archaeal small subunit ribosomal RNA", at positions 102 to 859 of the family's 1478-position model. Lineage: Archaea; Thermoproteati; Thermoproteota. The record is from RNAcentral.
GGUCAAUCUACCCUCAGGACGGGGAUAACCUCGGGAAACUGAGGCUAACACCCGAUAGAUAAUGGAUCCUGGAAUGGUUCAUUAUUUAAACGGCACAUUGCUCAUGCGCAGUAUGCCGCCUGAGGAUGAGACUGCAUCCUAUCAGGUAGUUGGUGGGGUAAUGGCUCACCAAGCCGAUAACGGGUACGGGCCCUGAGAGGGGGAGCCCGGAGAUGGGCACUGAGACAAGGGCCCAGGCCCUACGGGGCGCAGCAGGCGCGAAACCUCUGCAAUGCGCGAAAGCGCGACAGGGCCACCCCGAGUGCUAGCCGCUGAGGUUAGCUUUUCCUUAGUGUAGUAAGCUAAGGGAAUAAGCGGGGGGCAAGCCUGGUGUCAGCCGCCGCGGUAAUACCAGCUCCGCGAGUGGUCGGGACGAUUAUUGGGCCUAAAGCGUCCGUAGCCGGCCUAUCAAGUCUCUGGUUAAACUUCAAGGCUUAACCUUGAGAUUGCUGGAGAUACUGUUAGGCUAGGGGGCGGGAGAGGUUGAGGGUACUUCGCGGGUAGGGGCGAAAUCCUAUAAUCCGCGAAGGACCACCAGUGGCGAAGGCGCUCAACUGGAACGCGCCCGACGGUGAGGGACGAAAGCCAGGGGAGCAAAGGGGAUUAGAUACCCCCGUAGUCCUGGCUGUAAACGAUGCGGGCUAGGUGUUGGGUUGGCUUCGUGCCAACCCGGUGCCGCAGUGAAGACGAUAAGCCCGCCGCCUGGGAAGUACGGCUGCAAGGCUGAAACUUAA